AGUAGAAUUGCUGGGUCAUACAGUGAACUUACAUGUAACUUCAUGAGGAACUAUCAAACUUUUUGCAAAGUGGCUAUAUCAUUUAUCUUCCUACCAGCAAU
This 101-nucleotide microRNA precursor is filed under the name Marmota monax (woodchuck). The record is from RNAcentral. Lineage: Eukaryota; Metazoa; Chordata; Mammalia; Rodentia; Sciuridae.